Molecule: ribosomal RNA, 119 nt
Filed under: Pteropus alecto (black flying fox)
Lineage: Eukaryota; Metazoa; Chordata; Mammalia; Chiroptera; Pteropodidae
Also listed under: 1 other name
Source: RNAcentral
GUGUAUGGCCAUGUCACCCUGAACAAGCCCGAUCCCGUCUGAUCUUGGAAGCUAAGCAGGGUCGGGCCUGGUUAGUACUUGGAUGGGAUACUACUUAGGAAGACCAGGUGAUGUAGGAG